This is a non-coding RNA of Mycena vulgaris, 93 nucleotides long. NCBI's taxonomy places the organism in Eukaryota, Fungi, Basidiomycota, Agaricomycetes, Agaricales, Mycenaceae. The record is from the annotation of a GenBank genome assembly.
GUCUCUGUGGAUGAAUGGAAAGUCACCUCGAGUUGAUGAAUGUUUCGUUUGUAUCUUCGCGGCGAGAUGUGGGUUCAAAUCCCACCAGGGGCU